UUUCCGUAGGUGAACCUGCGGAAGGAUCAUUAUCGAAACUUCAUCCGGGGCGCCGCGCCCCUCAGCACCGGUGGAAACGCCGUGUUGUGGGGGCCGCGCGUGCACGCGUCCAAACCAAACCCCUGUGAACCGUACGGGAUGACCUGGGUUAGCGCCCGGUGCCGGUCCGCUUUAUAACAACACUUAUCAUAAAAUGAACUGAACGCGGUCUGACCGCUGGAUAAAAAAACUGAAACAACUUUCAACAACGGAUCUCUUGGCUCUC
RNAcentral lists this unclassified non-coding RNA (265 nucleotides) under plant metagenome. RNAcentral's name for it is "partial contains small subunit ribosomal RNA, internal transcribed spacer 1, and 5.8S ribosomal RNA". The record is from RNAcentral.